GACGAACGCUGGCGGUGUGCCUCACACAUGCAAGUCGAGCGGAUGAGGAUAGUAGCUUGCUACUGUCUGAGUUAGCGGCGGACGGGUGAGUAAUGCGUAGGAAUCUACCUUUAGGUAGGGGAUAACGGGCUGAAAGGUCCGCUAAUACCCCCAUAUGCGUGUCCCCUUCGGGGAUUCGUGAAAGGAGCAAUUCGCCUUUAGAUGAGCCUGCGUCUGAUUAGCUAGUGGUAGGGUAAAGGCCUACCAAGGCUACGAUCGGUAGUUGGUCUGAGAGGAUGAUCAGCCACAAUGGGACUGAGACACGGCCCAUACUCCUACGGGAGGCAGCAGUGGGGAAUUUUACGCAAUGGGCGAAAGCCUGACGUAGCGACA
This 372-nucleotide ribosomal RNA is filed under the name uncultured bacterium. RNAcentral's name for it is "bacterial SSU rRNA". It matches the Rfam family "Bacterial small subunit ribosomal RNA", at positions 28 to 396 of the family's 1533-position model. The record is from RNAcentral.